This 394-nucleotide ribosomal RNA is filed under the name uncultured bacterium. RNAcentral's name for it is "partial 16S ribosomal RNA". It matches the Rfam family "Bacterial small subunit ribosomal RNA", at positions 523 to 918 of the family's 1533-position model. The record is from RNAcentral.
AUACGGAGGAUGCAAGCGUUAUCCGGAUUUAUUGGGUUUAAAGGGUGCGUAGGCGGAUGAUUAAGCGUGAGGUGAAAUGCCACUGCUCAACAGUGGAACUGCCUCGCGAACUGGUUGUCUUGAAUGCUCCUGCCGUGGGAGGAAUGUGUGGUGUAGCGGUGAAAUGCAUAGAGAUCACACAGAACACCGAUUGCGAAGGCAUCUCAGGAAGGGGUGAUUGACGCUGAGGCACGAAAGCGUGGGGAUCAAACAGGAUUAGAUACCCUGGUAGUCCACGCAGUAAACGAUGAUAACUAACCGCUGGGUCGUAGUGAUUCAGUGGCCAAGCGAAAGCGAUAAGUUAUCCACCUGGGGAGUACGACCGCAAGGUUGAAACUUAAAGGAAUUGACGGGG